Molecule: transfer RNA, 85 nt
Filed under: Candidatus Chisholmbacteria bacterium RIFCSPHIGHO2_01_FULL_49_18
Lineage: Bacteria; Candidatus Chisholmiibacteriota
Description: tRNA-Ser
Rfam family: tRNA
About the family: Transfer RNA (tRNA) molecules are approximately 80 nucleotides in length. Their secondary structure includes four short double-helical elements and three loops (D, anti-codon, and T loops).
Source: RNAcentral
GGAGGGUUGGCAGAAUGGCAAUGUGCCGGUCUUGAAAACCGGUGGGCGAAAGCCCUUAGAGGUUCGAAUCCUCUACCCUCCGCCA